Molecule: ribosomal RNA, 714 nt
Filed under: uncultured bacterium
Lineage: Bacteria
Description: bacterial SSU rRNA
Rfam family: Bacterial small subunit ribosomal RNA
Source: RNAcentral
AGUGGAGCAAUCCAUGAGUAAAGUGGCGACCGGGUGAGUAACACGUGACUAACCUACCUUCGAGUGGGGGAUAACAUCGGGAAACCGAUGCUAAUACCGCAUAACAUCGCAAGAUCAAAGCAGCAAUGCGCUUGAAGAGGGGGUCGCGGCUGAUUAGCUAGUUGGCGGGGUAACGGCCCACCAAGGCGAAGAUCGGUAGCCGGCCUGAGAGGGCGCACGGCCACACUGGAACUGAAACACGGUCCAGACUCCUACGGGAGGCAGCAGUGGGGAAUCUUGCACAAUGGGGGAAACCCUGAUGCAGCGACGCCGCGUGAGCGAUGAAGCCCCUCGGGGUGUAAAGCUCUUUCGGCAGGGAAGAUUAUGACGGUACCUGCAAAAGCAGCUGCGGCUAACUACGUGCCAGCAGCCGCGGUAAUACGUAGGCAGCAAGCGUUGUUCGGAGUUACUGGGCGUAAAGGGUGCGUAGGCGGCUUUUUAAGUUUGGUGUGAAAUCUCCCGGCUCAACUGGGAGGGUGCGCCGAAUACUGAGAGGCUAGAGUGUGGGAGAGGAAAGUGGAAUUCCUGGUGUAGCGGUGAAAUGCGUAGAUAUCAGGAGGAACACCGGUGGUGUAAACGGCUUUCUGGACCAUAACUGACGCUGAAGCACGAAAGCGUGGGUAGCAAACAGGAUUAGAUACCCUGGUAGUCCUAGCCCUAAACGAUGAUUGCUUG